Molecule: ribosomal RNA, 429 nt
Filed under: uncultured Alphaproteobacteria bacterium
Lineage: Bacteria; Pseudomonadati; Pseudomonadota; Alphaproteobacteria
Description: bacterial SSU rRNA
Rfam family: Bacterial small subunit ribosomal RNA
Source: RNAcentral
AGGCAGCACGUAGGGAAUCUUAGACAAUGGGGGCAACCCUGAUCUAGCCAUGCCGCGUGUGUGAUGAAGGCCCUAGGGUCGUAAAGCACUUUCGCCAGAGAUGAUAAUGACAGUAUCUGGUAAAGAAACCCCGGCUAACUCCGUGCCAGCAGCCGCGGUAAUACGGAGGGGGUUAGCGUUGUUCGGAAUUACUGGGCGUAAAGCGCACGUAGGCGGAUUAGUAAGUUAGAGGUGAAAUCCCAGGGCUCAACCCUGGAACUGCCUUUAAUACUGCUAGUCUUGAGUUCGAGAGAGGUAAGUGGAAUUCCGAGUGUAGGAGGUGAAAUUCGUAUGAUAUUCGGCAGGAACACCAGUGGCGAAGGCGGCUUACUGGCUCGAUACUGACGCUGAGGUGCGAAAGUGUGGGGAGCAAACAGGAUUAGAUACCCU